AGAGUUUGAUCCUGGCCCAGGACGAACGCUGGCGGCACGCUUAACGCAUGCAAGUCGAACGAGAGAAGAGGAGCUUGCUUUUCUGAUCUAGUGGCGGACGGGUGAGUAACACGUGAGCAAUCUGCCUUUCAGAGGGGGAUACCGAUUGGAAACGAUCGUUAAUACCGCAUAACAUAAUUGAACCGCAUGAUUUGAUUAUCAAAGAUUUAUCGCUGAAAGAUGAGCUCGCGUCUGAUUAGCUAGUUGGUAAGGUAACGGCUUACCAAGGCGACGAUCAGUAGCCGGACUGAGAGGUUGAUCGGCCACAUUGGGACUGAGACACGGCCCAGACUCCUACGGGAGGCAGCAGUGGGGAAUAUUGCACAAUGGAGGAAACUCUGAUGCAGCGAUGCCGCGUGAGGGAAGAAGGUUUUAGGAUUGUAAACCUCUGUCUUCAGGGACGAAAAAAGACGGUACCUGAGGAGGAAGCUCCGGCUAACUACGUGCCAGCAGCCGCGGUAAUACGUAGGGAGCGAGCGUUGUCCGGAAUUACUGGGUGUAAAGGGAGCGUAGGCGGGAUCGCAAGUCAGAUGUGAAAACUAUGGGCUUAACCCAUAAACUGCAUUUGAAACUGUGGUUCUUGAGUGAAGUAGAGGUAAGCGGAAUUCCUAGUGUAGCGGUGAAAUGCGUAGAUAUUAGGAGGAACAUCAGUGGCGAAGGCGGCUUACUGGGCUUUAACUGACGCUGAGGCUCGAAAGCGUGGGGAGCAAACAGGAUUAGAUACCCUGGUAGUCCACGCCGUAAACGAUGAUUACUAGGUGUGGGGGGACUGACCCCUUCCGUGCCGCAGCAAACGCAAUAAGUAAUCCACCUGGGGAGUACGACCGCAAGGUUGAAACUCAAAGGAAUUGACGGGGGCCCGCACAAGCAGUGGAGUAUGUGGAUUAAUUCGAAGCAACGCGAAGAACCUUACCAGGUCUUGACAUCGUAUGCAUAGCUCAGAGAUGAGUGAAAUCUCUUCGGAGACAUAUAGACAGGUGAUGCAUGGUUGUCGUCAGCUCGUGUCGUGAGAUGUUGGGUUAAGUCCCGCAACGAGCGCAACCCUUAUUGACAGUAGCCAGCAGGUAAGGCUGGGCACUCUGUUAAGACUGCCGGGGAUAACUCGGAGGAAGGUGGGGAUGACGUCAAAUCAUCAUGCCCCUUAUGACCUGGGCUUCACACGUGCUACAAUGGCUGUCACAAAGAGAAGCGAAGCUGCGAAGUGGAGCAAAGCUCAAAAAGGCAGUCCCAGUUCGGAUUGCAGGCUGCAACCCGCCUGCAUGAAGCUGGAAUCGCUAGUAAUCGCGAAUCAGCAUGUCGCGGUGAAUACGUUCCCGGGCCUUGUACACACCGCCCGUCACACCAUGGGAGUUUAGAGCACCCGAAGUCAGUGAGGCAACCGCAAGGAGCCAGCUGCCGAAGGUGAGCUAAGUAACUGGGGUGAAGUCGUAACAAGGUA
RNAcentral lists this ribosomal RNA (1477 nucleotides) under metagenome. Its description in RNAcentral is "bacterial SSU rRNA". It matches the Rfam family "Bacterial small subunit ribosomal RNA". The record is from RNAcentral.